This is a long non-coding RNA of Sphaeramia orbicularis (orbiculate cardinalfish), 1327 nucleotides long. RefSeq lists it as uncharacterized. The record is from RefSeq and is a predicted model, not a curated record. Lineage: Eukaryota; Metazoa; Chordata; Actinopteri; Kurtiformes; Apogonidae. The transcript is spliced from 4 exons.
GUUUAAAUGACCAUCGAUUUGUGCUCCUCCAGGCAGAAGUGAGUCAUAUUUUUUUUUCCAUUUGUGAAGGCUUAUAGGUAUGGAGCAGAGGUGACAGGAGAAUCUACAUGACCUGUCUGAGAGGAAACACCCAGACAGGUCAAAGAAAUCUCAGAAAUUAAGAUGAAGGAGAUAUGCUGAGAGGUUUAGACUAAAAGUGCAGGACAGCUCUUCUAUGGGAACACAAAGAUGAUCCAGUCCCCAACAGAAGCCAGAUCACUGGCUGGAUGAUGAUGGAAGUGACAAUUCAGACAAAGUAUUACCAAACCACAAUGUGGUUUUUUCCCUAUUACUGAUUUUUUUUGGGUGUGUGUGCUUGUUUUUGUAAUACAGGUAAUUGAUGCAUACAUUCAUAUCCUUGUUGAAAAACAGCAGGUAAAUGCUGGAUGUAAAACUAUAUUGUUCUCAAUGCAUGUGUACUUAAUACACUAUACACUCAAUACACACGAACUAACACACACUUAAUUUUUUUUAACAGGGAUCCAUUCAUCAGCUCUGUGCUGUGGUAGCUGGAAGUUUGUUUUCCAGAAGAUUUCAGCCUCUUAGAAAAGCAAUCUAUUUGUUUGUUUUUAUCUAGCCAUAUCACCUAACACCAGUAACCUGAAUUAACAAUAAUUUGAUAUAAAACCCAUUCUUCAGAUGAAAUUUCCAGUGUUAAAAAGAUGGAUUUGUCCUGUAAAUGUAGGUGCUCACUGGAUUUUAGUGGUUUUCUACUAUUUUCCUCAGACCUAUUUCUGAGAUGUGUGUGUGUGUAUAUAUAUAUAUAUAUAUAUAUACAUACAUACAUAUAUACAUGCAUUUCAGUUGACCUGAUGCAUGUCCUAGUGUGAUGGAAUAACAUAAAUACAGUAAUCAUUUAUAGAUGGUCACCAUGUCACAGAGGACACUGCUACUUGUUGAUCCAGACAAGUAUAUUGUGUAUUUUGUAUGCUUGUUAUGCUUUUUAAACGAUAAUUAGGAAUUUCUUGAGGAUGGUGGGCCAUGAAGUCCAAGGAGAUAAAUGGACUGUAAAAACUGUUCACCACAACAAGCAGCAAGAUGCCAGUAGGUGUGGGAUUUAGGUGUUAAAGUUUGCAGAAGGAUUUCUCAACAAUGGAGACAUCACAAGCAUCCAGACCCAUCCUGCAGAGGCUUUAAAGGCUCAAUGGGAAGCAGCAUGUGCCCUCCUACAGGUUGGAGGUCUGUGGGAAGAAACAUGAAGCCAUCACAGAUGGGAUAAAUACGGACACCACAUGUCCCUCACAAGAUCAAACUAGUGAAUAUAGUGUAUAUAUCAAAUAAAGUUGAC